UCGUAACAAGGUCUCCGUUGGUGAACCAGCGGAGGGAUCAUUACCGAGUUUACAACUCCCAAACCCAAUGUGAACGUUACCAAACUGUUGCCUCGGCGGGGUCACGCCCCGGGUGCGUAAAAGCCCCGGAACCAGGCGCCCGCCGGAGGAACCAACCAAACUCUUUCUGUAGUCCCCUCGCGGACGUAUUUCUUACAGCUCUGAGCAAAAAUUCAAAAUGAAUCAAAACUUUCAACAACGGAUCUCUUGGUUCUGGCAUCGAUGAAGAACGCAGCGAAAUGCGAUAAGUAAUGUGAAUUGCAGAAUUCAGUGAAUCAUCGAAUCUUUGAACGCACAUUGCGCCCGCCAGUAUUCUGGCGGGCAUGCCUGUCCGAGCGUCAUUUCAACCCUCGAACCCCUCCGGGGGGUCGGCGUUGGGGAUCGGGACCCCUCACCGGGUGCCGGCCCUGAAAUACAGUGGCGGUCUCGCCGCAGCCUCUCCUGCGCAGUAGUUUGCACAACUCGCACCGGGAGCGCGGCGCGUCCACGUCCGUAAAACACCCAACUUCUGAAAUGUUGACCUCGGAUCAGGUAGGAAUACCCGCUGAACUUAAGCAUAUCAAUAA
This 605-nucleotide unclassified non-coding RNA is filed under the name Trichoderma hamatum. RNAcentral describes it as "sequence contains 18S rRNA gene, ITS1, 5.8S rRNA gene, ITS2, 28S rRNA gene". The stretch from base 227 to 380 matches the Rfam family "5.8S ribosomal RNA". Lineage: Eukaryota; Fungi; Ascomycota; Sordariomycetes; Hypocreales; Hypocreaceae. The record is from RNAcentral.